CGGGUAGCUUGGGAAUGCUGCUCUAAUUGGUGGUAAAUCUCAUCAAAGGCUAAAUAGCGGCCGGAGACCGAUAGCGAACAAGUACCGUGAGGGAAAGAUGACAAGCACUUUGAAAAGAGGGUGAAAAGAGCCUGAAACCGUCAUGGGGGAAGCGGAUUGCGUUGGACUGGUGGGUUGUUGCGUGUUCAGCCGUUUCGGUGCAUUGACGCAACAACUUAUCCGCCGUGGGUUCUGGGUGGUCGACAUUGGACCACUCGGGGCUGAGGGCUCCCUUUUAUAGGUGAGGACGGUGGAGCGACGACGCGAUACGACCCGUCUUGAAACACGGACCAAGGAGUCUAGCGCGGGUGCGAGUCAGAGGGUGCAAGCCCGUGGGCGAAGUGAAAGCGAGUGUAAAAACGAGCAGUUUGGGGCGGCAUAAGAUCGUUGAUCUCAAGACCGACCCAGAGCAGUUGCGCUGGGACCCGAAAGAUGGUGAACUAUGCCGGAGUAGGGCAAAGCCAGAGGAAACUCUGGUGGAGGCUCGUAGCGGUGCUGACGUGCAAAUCGCUCGUCGAACUUGGGUAUAGGGGCGAAAGACUAAUCGAACCAUCUAGUAGCUGGUUCCCUCCGAAGUUUCUCUC
RNAcentral lists this ribosomal RNA (623 nucleotides) under Furcellaria lumbricalis. RNAcentral's name for it is "eukaryotic LSU rRNA". It matches the Rfam family "Eukaryotic large subunit ribosomal RNA", at positions 266 to 974 of the family's 3401-position model. Lineage: Eukaryota; Rhodophyta; Florideophyceae; Gigartinales; Furcellariaceae. The record is from RNAcentral.